GUCACUUCCACCAGUGCUCCCCUGCCGAUGAGCUGGGAAACCUCUGAGGGAUGACAGAAAAGUCACAUAAAGGGCUCAGCUCCUCUUCCGCUGGGAGAGCCCGCGGUGGCACGCAACCUGGAAAGAACUCAUAGAAGUGCCUCUUUGUGCUUGAGACAGCCUGCGAUGACAGAUCAGUAACGACCCCCAGAGACGUCCCCCACCGCAUCUCCCUACAGAGAUCCCCCCAAGCUUCUGCCAUGAGCCGUCGCUGGAGGACAGGGGGGACACAGGACUGGCUGCUGGGGUGGUCACUGCUCCACACAACACCACAAGCACCCUGGCUUUAACAAAAAAGGUUGUCUAGACUGAGAAGUACAGGUUUUGCUCUUGGAGUAUGAGCAGAAUAACGUCAGACACGCUGCCUUCCACGUAGUGGCAAAGGGACGUCAGUGCCUGCUGGAGGAUGCUUUCUCGGGCUGGCUGUACCUCUGCCACCUCCCCACCCAGGGAGAGGACGGGGCAGCCCCUGCCCGCGUGGAGCCUGCUGCACAGGUAGGGCUUUGUUUGCCAGGGCACUGAAAAAUGGCUCAGUAUGGAUCUGAAAGCCAUUCAUCAUGGUGGGAUGAAACACAAGUCACUUUGAAGCCGCUGUCGGUUGGUAAGAAAAUAAUUUAAAAUUAAACCAGUUCUGAAACUAUCUACCGCAAGUGGUUACAAGCCUGAGUGUUGUAAAACUGGACCGUUUCCUCUUUUCCUCGCAACGAUCAUGUCCUUGAUUCCUCCUUUAGGGUGCUUUGGCAAUUCUUGCACAGUAAUAAAAAGGCAUGACACAGCAUAUGUUUUGCGGCUCACCUUGCCAAACAAAAUUACAACGUUAGUGUAGCUUCUUUGCCUUUGCAUAAUGAACUAGAGAGAGGGUAAGCAUCUGUGCCAAGAUAAAAGAAAAAACAAGAAGUACAAAGGUCUGGUUUAAAGCAGACUCCGUUUAAAGAAAUUCUUUUUAGAAUGACUUAUCUUGAAACUGUUACAGACAGUUAGGGAAAGUCAUACAGUUUCUAAAUGUCUGUUAUGUUUUAAGUCUGCAGCUACAUUGCUAAGAUUUAAGGAAAAAAAAAACUAGAUGCAACUUUGAGAGCUCAGAAACGUGGCACAGCAGAGCAUCAUCUGCGCAACACGUGCUGGGGCCAGGAGGAAGUGGGCUGCAAAGGAACUGCUUAUUCCCCGCUCCUCAGGUUCCCUGGGCAUCAUUUGCAUUUUUAAUGGCGUUCGGGGCAGGCCUUGUCAACAAGGGGAAUUUGCUGUGUGGGGAGGAGGUAGACUGGCCUGUAGGUGUGCCCGUCUGUUCUGCCUUUUUUGUCACCUUUCUGUCAUCCCUGUCCCUCAGGGACUUGAAAGGAAAGCAUGGACCUCACUGGGAAGUCCAAGGGAAGGGACGGAUUUCCUUGUACAGCGGAUGAUGACAGGGAAAAAGGGAAAUCCUUCCGUCUAUGGAUCUGCCAAAUCUGUUCCAGGAAAAAGGCAAAAAGCUGCCCCAACUAAUGCCACUGCACUUAUGCCUGCUACAAACCCAUGUUAAUAGCUGAGUUAGGAUUCAGGCAGUCUGAGUGGUUCAAAUACUGAAGGUUAAAGACCAGAUCCUGCUUCAUUAAUGCCAGAGACAAAGUUCCCAGCAAAAGAUCUGGCCCUUAGUUUCUGGAAGUCCAACUAAGUAAAUUAAGAGGAAAAAAAAAAAGAAUAACGAAAAGAAAUAGAUGAGGAAAAUUUUGCCAUCAACUAUGGCAGCUGGCAUCAGCGAGGUUGCCCAGGUAGAAGAGAGAUCCAGCACUCUCUUGCUUUUCGGCAGACAUGAAACCUUGUCAUCCUCUGCUAUCACAACCAACACCCUGUUGUGCAAAGUGCUAUACAGCCACAGAGACGGUGUCAGUCUGCCCAAAGUCCUUACAAAGCCCCUUGCACAAUGUCUCUGCAGCCAAAACUCAUUUAUUAAAAGCUUGCUUAUCAGAAAUGAGGUCCAGUCAUUUGAUGGGCAUUAGAUACGUUCAUGCAUUAAACGCGACUGAAAUAUCACCUGCUUAUCCUAACCCUUGUUUGUCCAAAUCACCUUUGCAUUCACUGUGAUACACUAUGGGUGAGAUUUGAUAGCAUUUGCUAACCAUACAAGAGUUGAGCCCACAACUCUUCUUUUGGUAAGAAAAGGUAUCAACCAAAACAAAUGAGUUAUUCUUCGAUAACGAAGACAAGAGAAAUCUCCAAACUCAGUGGAAAAAUAAGUCAGUGCUUGAAGAACAGCAAGAGGUGGAAUCAGUGUGGACAGAAAUGUGACCAAAUCUGUGAAGCACCAUUAUGUGUCUGACAGUACCCAUCUUGCACAAACCACACCAAGGUGCCCUUCCAGCUCUCUGUAGGCACAAUUUCCCUGGGAUACUUCAAAACCAGCUUCAUUCCCAGGCCAUGUCCCCAUGGUCCACAUGCUCUUGGAGGCUGAGGUAGCACCUCCAUGGCCCUGGCCCUGGCCCUGGAGCAGCGCACCCAGGAGGUGGCUAGCCCCCAGCAGGCAUCUCUGAAAAGAGUCAGAGAUGCUUCACACUGAGACAUGCUCAGCUCAUUUCCUGCGUGAAGCAAAGGAGAUCCAACCACCAACCGGCAGCCUUCAGCCCAGCACUUUACUGCAGGUGAGCACAGCCCCCUCGGAGGCAGGGGUGGCUUUGAGGAUACUCUCUGGCAUCCGCAUCGGAUUCAUGGAUCAACUUCAAUGCUUCUGGCCAUCAGUGUCCUGGUUUGGAUGAUCGCUGCUAAUUUUACGGCGGUGGGUGUUUGGCAGUGUAGCUCUGAGCCAGCCUCGGCGUGCUGCUGCGCCCCGCGUGCCCUGCCCACAGCCCUGAGUGCAGGGCUGGCUCCUGAGCUGCAACUAAUAGCGUAAAGCUUCCGAUAAAUCAAGGGUUUCACAAAAGCGUGAGUGGCUGAUUUCACAAUGUGAUUAGAAUUACCAAGGGAAAACAUUUCAAAUGUUCAAUAAUUUACACCUCUACUUUUAAAGUACCUUUCCCCAUUCCACUCCCGUAACUUUACGGGAUUCUUGCCAUGUUCUUGAAGCCGUUUCCUUCCUCAUGUCGGCUCUCAUUGCUGCUGAACACUCUGGUAAUAAAUAAAAGUACUGUAUGGCUGGAGAUUGUGCUGGGGAUGAAAAAAAUACAAUGCCGUUUAUUAUAAAAUAGUCUAUGCACGCAUCUGAUCUUAGCAUGUGCUCUGCAUCCUUCCAAAAUCAAGACAAGUUGCAAAGUACUAUUGCAAAAUUUGGUUUAUAUUCCAGCUUGCUUUUUGUGAUGCUUCUUUUUAAGAAAGCAUUUUCAAACACAUUUUCCAUUAAGUUUUUCCAUGCCAACUUUUCACUCGUAACAGUGUUAGCAAAGUCAGGCCUCCCCUUCAUGGUUUAGCUUUGAAAGGUUUUAAAUGUAAAUUUGGAACUCAUAUCACACAUUACUGAGGGGCAGGAACUGCUUGUUUGUUUGUUUAUGUAUUUAUUAACUAGGAAUUAUUUUCUCUCCAGCGUGCUUCAGUCUCCUACAAGUUCAGCUCUUUGGUGAACUAA
Molecule: long non-coding RNA, 3571 nt
Organism: Chroicocephalus ridibundus (black-headed gull)
Lineage: Eukaryota; Metazoa; Chordata; Aves; Charadriiformes; Laridae
Exons: 3
Source: RefSeq, a predicted model, not a curated record